CCUACGGGGGGCUGCAGUGGGGAAUAUUGGACAAUGGGGGGAACCCUGAUCCAGCCAUGCCGCGUGUGUGAAGAAGGCCCUCGGGUUGUAAAGCACUUUCAGUGAGGAAGAACGCCUGGUGGUUAAUACCCAUCAGGAAAGACAUCACUCACAGAAGAAGCACCGGCUAACUCCGUGCCAGCAGCCGCGGUAAUACGGAGGGUGCGAGCGUUAAUCGGAAUUACUGGGCGUAAAGCGCGCGUAGGUGGCUUGAUAAGCCGGUUGUGAAAGCCCCGGGCUCAACCUGGGAACGGCAUCCGGAACUGUCAAGCUAGAGUGCAGGAGAGGAAGGUAGAAUUCCCUGUGUAGCGGUGAAAUGCGUAGAGAUCGGGAGGAAUACCAGUGGCGAAGGCGGCCUUCUGGACUGAAACUGACACUGAGGUGCGAAAGCGUGGGUAGCAAACAGGAUUAGAUACCCCAGUAGUC
This 465-nucleotide ribosomal RNA is filed under the name Vreelandella stevensii. Its description in RNAcentral is "partial 16S ribosomal RNA". It matches the Rfam family "Bacterial small subunit ribosomal RNA", at positions 338 to 795 of the family's 1533-position model. Lineage: Bacteria; Pseudomonadati; Pseudomonadota; Gammaproteobacteria; Oceanospirillales; Halomonadaceae. The record is from RNAcentral.